CCUCCAUCUUCCUCUCGUUUCAACAACGCCCCAUCUCAAUUCUCUUCAUCAACACCAACUGAAAAGAGGAGAUUUAUCAACAAAAUCCAUCAAUAACAUCAGCUCUUCUCUAUUAUCUUCAUCAAGACCAACUGAAAACGAAGAUUCAUCGACAACAUCAAUUUUUGAAGUCUGAAUCGAUGAAGAAUAGACUAUUAGGAUCAUCAACAAUAAUCAAGAGUAAUUCUAUGUUGUCUAAAGCAAUUGGUGAUUGCAAAAAAACUUAGAUUACGUCUCUUCUUUGGUAUGUUAAUGGCUGCACCAUCGGUGAAUCCCUAAAAUUAACAUUUUUGGGAGCUUCAGGUGAAGCAAAUAAUCAUGAAAAUGAUGGUACGAGUUAUUCUCAGAAGGGAACAGAAAGCACAUGUGACUUUUGGUGAAUGAUUAGCAAUUGCUUUUGCUUAGUAGUAAAUGACAUGGUUUCUAUGAAGCUAUUCAUAAUAUAUUGUGGGUUUCAAGUCAGGUGGAGAUAAGCUCCAAUGUUGUUGCUCUAGGUACUUGGAGAGCUUAAAACUCUGUCGACACUUUAUGAAAUCUUUGAUUCCUGGUAAUUGCUACUGGAGGUGAAAUGGUAAGCGUCUUGUGAAAGAAUGCAAGGAGCUUGUGGAGUUAUAUACAGGAAGUUUGUAUUCCUUGUUUUCUCUCGCUUCUUAUGGAUUAAUUCUGAAUAAUUUUGAUAUCAGGCAGUGCACCAGGCUUAUGAUGUGGUCGUGCAGAAAAAGCGUAUUGAGAAAAAUCUUCUGACUGAUAACUUUAUUGUAAUGGAUCGAUUGGUGAUGGAGCAUAAUCUUCUGAGUGCAAGCAAGCUUUAUACAGAUAUAAGCUCAUGAGAUCAGAAGUAAGAUGGAUUCUCUAAGGGAAAAUGAUGUAAUUUGCAGAAACAAACUUUUGCAAUAAUGCAAUUUACAAUAUGGAUGAGAGACAUUAAACUUAUCAGCAACUGCAAUCAUCACAGAAAGGUGAAGAUAUGAUUGCUUGUGUACAGUCAUUAGAAGCUGCAAUGCGUUCAUGCUUGCCUACGGGAGGCUGCAAGCGAUAGAUCGUUCUCCUCAUCCUUCUCAUCGAAGCCCUCUCCUCGGGCUUCUUCAAGAUGAUGUUGAUCCCAUGGUGUAUGUUAUGAAGGUGUAGAAGGCACCGCUGGAAACAUAUGCAGACAUUGGUGGACUAGAUGCUCAAAUUCAAGAACCUAAAGAGGCAGUUGAACUUCCACUACCUCAUCCUUGUGCUGGUAACCGGUGAGGCAAUUAGAGUUUGCUUUACUAAGUCAUAUCCUUUCACAUAUAUUUCCUAGGUCCACCAGGUAGAAGUUGAUAAUAAUUUGUUUUAGUACAACUACUCAGGGAAGAAAUUUUCAAAUACCUGCAAUGUAUUGACGAGUCAAUAAUUUUGGUGUUUUUCUGGACUAA
This is a long non-coding RNA of Papaver somniferum (opium poppy), 1445 nucleotides long. RefSeq lists it as uncharacterized. The record is from RefSeq and is a predicted model, not a curated record. NCBI's taxonomy places the organism in Eukaryota, Viridiplantae, Streptophyta, Magnoliopsida, Ranunculales, Papaveraceae. The transcript has 10 exons.